GACGAACGCUGGCGGCGUGCCUAAUACAUGCAAGUAGAACGCACAGUUUAUACCGUAGCUUGCUACACCAUAGACUGUGAGUUGCGAACGGGUGAGUAACGCGUAGGUAACCUGCCUGGUAGCGGGGGAUAACUAUUGGAAACGAUAGCUAAUACCGCAUAAUAUUAAUUAUUGCAUGAUAAUUAAUUGAAAGGUGCAAUUGCACCACUACCAGAUGGACCUGCGUUGUAUUAGCUAGUAGGUGAGGUAACGGCUCACCUAGGCGACGAUACAUAGCCGACCUGAGAGGGGGAUCGGCCACACUGGGACUGAGACACGGCCCAGACUCCUACGGGAGGCAGCAGUAGGGAAUCUUCGGCAAUGGACGAAAGUCUGACCGAGCAACGCCGCGUGAGUGAAGAAGGUUUUCGGAUCGUAAAGCUCUGUUGUAAGAGAAGAACGGGUGUGAGAGUGGAAAGUUCACACUGUGACGGUAUCUUACCAGAAAGGGACGGCUAACUACGUG
This 505-nucleotide ribosomal RNA is filed under the name uncultured bacterium. RNAcentral's name for it is "partial 16S ribosomal RNA". It matches the Rfam family "Bacterial small subunit ribosomal RNA", at positions 28 to 507 of the family's 1533-position model. The record is from RNAcentral.